GAUGAGAAGAAGAACAAACCUCAUUCUUGUUCAGUCACAUUGACCAAUGAAAAGACUUCCGUCUUCUGGGCACGUGGUACAUCUGAUUUACGCUUACAGAACUGAAAGCACACAUCCAAGGAGGCUUCUCUUGGGAAGAGAGG
Ursus americanus (American black bear) is the source of this 143-nucleotide unclassified non-coding RNA. NCBI's taxonomy places the organism in Eukaryota, Metazoa, Chordata, Mammalia, Carnivora, Ursidae. The record is from Ensembl.